Molecule: unclassified non-coding RNA, 29 nt
Filed under: Mus musculus (house mouse)
Lineage: Eukaryota; Metazoa; Chordata; Mammalia; Rodentia; Muridae
Description: oocyte_clustered_small_RNA658
Source: RNAcentral
UAAGCCCUAGGAUACCCACAUGCCUUUUA